Molecule: long non-coding RNA, 644 nt
Organism: Nicotiana attenuata
Lineage: Eukaryota; Viridiplantae; Streptophyta; Magnoliopsida; Solanales; Solanaceae
Exons: 2
Source: RefSeq, a predicted model, not a curated record
UCCAAUUAAAAUCUAGACUUAGACCCUUAGCAAAAGAAUACCAAGAAAACGGCGCUCCAGAUCUCUUUUCUGUGAACAAAAAGAAGACCCCAUUUUUCUUGAACACCAGAAGAAAAGAAAACGCUGCUGCUUCUUCAUUUUCACAACCAAGACACCAUCGAACAAAUUCCUCACCCCAUCAAAGAUUAGACCCCAUUUUCCUAAGCUUCAGCGACCUAUGGAUAUUUGGGCUGCUGUCCAUCUCUUUGUCGUUGUCUCUGUCGUCGCUACUCCGAUCCGACCGGAAACAACAUAAAAUCCGACUACCCUUAAGCUCAUCUCUCACCCUCACUCACACAAAAAAUGUUAAGACCCAAGUGUUGCUGCUGUACUGUUGAUUUGCGGAGUUCCAUUUCCGGGUACAUAUGUCUAGUGAUCUUUUGGGCGCAGAGGCACGACUUUUGCGGGACUUACGGUGAGUUGCAUUCCAUGUUACGAAUCCGCAACAUACAGAGUUUCUAUCAAAGUUAUUUACAUUUUCCUAUCUAAUUUGUAUUCAAGACAGAGGUUGUAUUUUAUCAUAUUUCUUAGAUGAUGCUCAUGCACUUGUGACACCGGGUUUUGGGAAUUUUCUUCGGGUUAAUCAUUAUUGUGGUACAUGUUAA